AUUUUUGAAGGGUAAAAUGAGAC
Molecule: non-coding RNA, 23 nt
Filed under: Cricetulus griseus (Chinese hamster)
Lineage: Eukaryota; Metazoa; Chordata; Mammalia; Rodentia; Cricetidae
Source: RNAcentral